UUUCCUACGGGGGGCAGCAGUGGGGAAUAUUGGGCAAUGGGCGCAAGCCUGACCCAGCAACGCCGCGUGAAGGAAGAAGGCUUUCGGGUUGUAAACUUCUUUUGUCAGGGACGAAGCAAGUGACGGUACCUGACGAAUAAGCCACGGCUAACUACGUGCCAGCAGCCGCGGUAAUACGUAGGUGGCAAGCGUUAUCCGGAUUUACUGGGUGUAAAGGGAGCGUAGACGGCGUCGCAAGUCUGAAGUGAAAGCCCGUGGCUCAACCGCGGAACCGCUUUGGAAACUGCGAGGCUGGAGUGCUGGAG
This 305-nucleotide ribosomal RNA is filed under the name uncultured bacterium. RNAcentral describes it as "bacterial SSU rRNA". It matches the Rfam family "Bacterial small subunit ribosomal RNA", at positions 335 to 654 of the family's 1533-position model. The record is from RNAcentral.